UCUAUUUCAACCCCGGUUCUCCACACCAUCCUUGCUUGAUCGUCGUUGCUCCAUACCCGGUACACUCACCCUCGUCCUCUGUUCAGUCGGCUGGGCUCAUCCACGGCGUCCUCCCUGUCCUCCCACCGCUCCUCGCUACCUCGGCGCCAGUGUUCCCCAGCUCCCUGGCCCCCAGGCUCCUUGGUUCCCCGUGCCUGUGUUUCCCUGACGUCCUCCUCUCCCUCCACUCCAGUCCCUCAAACCUCCUUCCCUCAGAGUGCUGCAUUUGGGUCCUCUCUGUCCACACACCACACAAUCUCGCAUUAGUUAAAGUCCAUUAAGAUCUUACCAGAAAUUUUCCUUCUGUGGUCCCUAUUAUCCUUUUUAUGUCAGCUCUUCUGCAGCUAAAGCACAGACAAAUAUGACCCCGGGUAGGUCUACUGAUAAAGAAAUAACUGAAGCAGUUGUCUA
Molecule: long non-coding RNA, 450 nt
Organism: Micropterus salmoides (largemouth bass)
Lineage: Eukaryota; Metazoa; Chordata; Actinopteri; Centrarchiformes; Centrarchidae
Exons: 2
Source: RefSeq, a predicted model, not a curated record